Molecule: long non-coding RNA, 1783 nt
Organism: Eriocheir sinensis (Chinese mitten crab)
Lineage: Eukaryota; Metazoa; Arthropoda; Malacostraca; Decapoda; Varunidae
Exons: 2
Source: RefSeq, a predicted model, not a curated record
AGCUCCGCCCUCUUUCCCUCUAAGCCCCGCUCCCAUGUCUAUAAGCUCCUCCCCCUUCUCUCUAAGCCUCCCUUCUCAUUGGGUAAUCCGGCAAGCCACGCCCCUUAUUGAAACCAGGCUAGAUGUCAUUGGUGGAUGCUGGGAAAGGUGAUAUCUCAUUGGUGGAUGUUGGGAGAGGUGAGAUCUUGCUGGUCGAUGUUGGGAAAGGUGAUAUCUCGCUUGUGGAUGCUGGAAAAAGUUAAAUCUCAUUGGUGGAUGCUGGGAAAGGUUAAAUCUCAUUGGUGGAUGCUGGGGAAAGGUUAAAUCUCAUUGGUGGAUGUUGGGAGAGGUGAGAUCUUGCUGGUGGAUGCUGGGAAAGGUUACAUCUCAUUGUUGGAUGCUGGGAAAAGGCUAAAUCUUAUUGGGAGUUCCUGGGCGUGUCUUCCUCGCCAAGUUAUCCUGAACGAAGCAUUGUCUCGUGGCUUUGUUUGUGUUGUGGCGCAUUAGCAAUUGGUGCCAUGACUGCUGCUGCUGCCGCUGCCGAGAAUGUUACAAAAGACUGUGCUUACCAGUGACUAGACUAAUUAUCGUGCUUGAGAGAGACAGGCGGCUUUACACACAGCAACUAGACCUACUUAAGAAAACUGUGUCUGUCUGCUUGUUUGGUGAAGGGAAUGAGUUUGAUAAGUUUAGUGAUUCAGAAGGAGAAGCAGAUAUCGAAAACUAGUGUCUGUCUGCUUGUUUGGUGAAGGGAAUGUGUUUGAUAAGUUUAGUGAUUCAGAAGGAGAAGCAGGUGACGAAAUAUUGAGUUUGUAAGUUUGUUCAGGAUAAAAAUGAGUUGAAAGCCACGAGAUCUACUUAAGAAAACUGUGUCUGUCUGCUUGUUUGGUGAAGGGAAUGUGUUUAACAAGUUCAGUGAUUCAGAAGGAGAAGCAGGUGACGAAAUAUUGAGUUUGUAAGUUUGUUCAGGAUAAAAAUGAGUUAUAGAUUAAUUAAGGAAAAAAUGAGUUUGAGUUUACUGAUUCAGAGGAAGAAGAAGGUGAAGAAAUAUUGAGUUUGUAAGUUUGUUCAGGAUGAAAAACGAGUUCUUGAUUAAUUAAGAAAAAAAUGAGUUUGAGUUUACUGAUUCAGAGGAAGAAGAAGGUGAAGAAAAACUGAGUUUGUGAGUUAUAUAAUUGAAGAAAAUGUUUGUAAGUUUGUGCACGAUAAAAAUGAGUUGGUUAAAUUACGGAAACACGAGUAUAAUUAAGUUUGAUGUGACAAUUCCUGCAUCACUUACAAAUAUAUUCACUCCGUUAUCAAGUUUAUAAGUUUGUGCAGGAUAGAAAUAAGUUGGUUUAAUUACGGACAAAAAAUGAGUCUAUAAGUUUGAUGUGACAAUUCCUGCAUCACUUACAAAUAUAUUCACAUCCAUUACCAAGUUUGUUAUAGAUUAAUAGCUUUGUCGUGAAGGCGUCUGUUCAAUUGAUUACACAUAUUAUAGUUGUUUCAUUGUAUUCGUGGGAUCAUACAUAUUAUACAUUAUGUUUCUUUAGUGUUAAGGACAAUGAAAGCAUGUAUAUUUUAAUUCGACGUUUCUUUCAUUAUAUUCAAAAGUUGUGAUAUAUGACUUAGACACUUAAUACUGUGAAAUGCGUUAGAGAAAUUGUGAUAUAUGUUAAUUUUAUGGGUAGCUUAUUUAUCUUACUGAAAUUUUUGACCGUGGAAAGAAAGAAAGAACUCGGUUGAUUUUGCACGAUAGAUUUCUGUUGCAUAUUCAUUUUUUUGUCAUUAUUAUCAUUAUUAAAGAGAAGAAGUAUAUGCA